Molecule: long non-coding RNA, 355 nt
Filed under: Heterocephalus glaber (naked mole-rat)
Lineage: Eukaryota; Metazoa; Chordata; Mammalia; Rodentia; Bathyergidae
Description: lncRNA (ENSHGLG00000035803.1)
Source: RNAcentral
GUCCGUGGCUUCCUCUGGGUCUGGGAAGAGCAGAGUAAUGUUUCCGGUGCAUCCUGUGGGCCUGCUCCCUCCUGCUCGGUGUCCUUAUCCGGGAGGCUGUCCGAGAAGAAGCUGGUGACUUGACCAUGGACUUUCCAGGCCCUGUGACAGUGGACCUUUGACACACCUGGCCCCAGCCACACCUGCAACAGAUAUUUUUAACAAGCCAGUGCCAGGAAAUGCUUUUCCUUCUGAGCCAAAAGAAAGAAGACAGAUCUACUGAGAGCCUUUGAUUAACUAACUGAGAGAAAAUUCACUCACUUGCUGUCUGGGCAGAACCUGGAACUUGCCUGCUGAGAGUCAAGGUCAAGCCAGC